Molecule: ribosomal RNA, 253 nt
Filed under: uncultured bacterium
Lineage: Bacteria
Description: partial 16S ribosomal RNA
Rfam family: Bacterial small subunit ribosomal RNA
Source: RNAcentral
UACAGAGGUCCCGAGCGUUGUUCGGAUUUAUUGGGCGUAAAGGGUGCGUAAGCGGCGGAGUAAGUUGGGUGUGAAAUCCCGGGGCUUAACCUCGGAAUUGCAUUCAAUACUGCUUCGCUCGAGUACUGGAGAGGAGGCUGGAAUUUACGGUGUAGCAGUGAAAUGCGUAGAGAUCGUAAGGAAGACCAGUGGCGAAGGCGGGUCUCUGGACAGUUCCUGACACUGAGGCACGAAGGCCAGGGGAGCAAACGGG